This 253-nucleotide ribosomal RNA is filed under the name uncultured bacterium. RNAcentral describes it as "partial 16S ribosomal RNA". It matches the Rfam family "Bacterial small subunit ribosomal RNA", at positions 524 to 776 of the family's 1533-position model. The record is from RNAcentral.
UACAGAGGGUGCUAGCGUUAAUCGGAUUUACUGGGCGUAAAGCGUGCGUAGGUGGUUUGAUAAGUCGAUUGUGAAAGCCCCGGGCUUAACCUGGGAAUUGCGGUCGAUACUGUCAGACUCGAAAACGGUAGAGGGAGGUGGAACUCCAGGUGUAGCGGUGAAAUGCGUAGAUAUCUGGAAGAACACCGAUGGCGAAGGCAGCCUCCUGGGCCUGUUUUGACACUGAGGCACGAAAGCGUGGGUAGCAAACAGG